GCAGAGGCUUAACCCUCUGAGCCACCCAGGCGCCCCUUACAUCUUAAUUUAAGGAUAAAAACAUACCAGUGUUCUAUACACAUAGAAUCACCCCCAUCUCCAAACACUAACAUCCAGAAUGGGGCGAUGUGGUAGUGGGAGCCAGAAGAGGCCAAAGGUGGGGUGGGCCACAUAGCAGGAGAAGCUUUUCCUGGAAGACUCCCCCCAUGGCAGAUGCUCCCCCAAGAAUGUCCCACAGAUACAGGUCCACAGGGAUGGUUAGAAAUAAUGAAAGGAUCCUGUUGGCUUCUCAGGGUUCAGCACCACCCGCCGUGGGUCCCUUCAGUCUGGGACCCCAGAUCCCCUGUCCAGGAACACAGAGGGAUAUGAAUGGCCAGUGUCCACUCAAACUGAAGAGUGUGAAAAGCCAAGUCCUGGAAGGCAUCCCUGACAUACAUACUUUGCAGAUGUUGGAAAGGGCUUGGUCUGCACACCUGGGGAAGAAAAAAAAAAAAAAAAAAAAAGACAUCCUUUCACCCACAAAGUACUCAAUUGUGCAAGCCACAGAGUCACCACAUGGCCAGCUUCCUGAAGCUGGCCGGUCAGAGACCUUAGCGUGCAUUCCUCCGCCAACCAAAAAGGAUGGUCUGAGUCCCAUAGACUUGAUUGUUCGAUGUUUCUCAGCAAGGGCUGCCUCCCUUGUUCGCCUCCUCGCAGAGUUCUGGGCUGUUCUUCAUUACCUGUCCUACCUAUCUGCACAAUCUAGCCGCAAACAGCUUCGGUUGACCACACCACUUCCCUAUUGAAAGUUAAUACUGUUUGACUCAUUCUGUGUUACUAACCUGAAGCCAAAGAAAACAAGGCAGAGAAUAAGCGGCUUGUAUGGAGUUUGGAAAGCUCUCAGAGGCCCUGCUUUCAAAAUCCUAUACAGUAGCUUUACUAUAUCUCUCUGCUGCAGCUGCAAAGAAAUGAAGGAAGCAGAAGUGGUUAAAAGGAAAAAGAAAAAAAAAGCUGGGGGUGGGGAGAGCCAGGGCAGGAUUUGGGGGGUGGGGGGGGUGGAGGGCCCCACAGGCUGCAGGAGGACUCAGCAUCAUCUACACCAGCCUUUGAACGCCUUGUCAUGGAGCUGGGAUUCUGCCUCCACGCACCGGAGUACUCGGACAGAGGAGGGACUGUUGGCGGAGUUCAAAGGAGAGAAAGUUCAAAACAUGCCUGGGAAAGGACAGUCUCCUGUUGCAUGUGGAGCGGAGUGGGGCUGGGCCGCGGGUCCCAGCAAGCCAGGCUUCCGUAGGCAGAGCCCCAAGGUAAAAAGACAGAGAGGGGCAAGUGUGUUCCUUUCAGAUCUGGGAAGGAUUUGCCGGGAGAAGGUUGUCUGCCUUUGCUAGGGAAGUAUUGACAGCCUCUUGUCCUUCAUUCUAUAACUGGCUCAGAUGUGGUCACCAGGGUAAACGGAGCAUUUGUGUCUUGGUAUAAAUAGAACGUUCCCUCCCAGCGUCGCCCGGCAGCAGUGGGACUUGUGUUGUCAUCACCGCGUCGCGGCUCUUUGGGGAUCCCAGGCAAAGAGCCUCUUGCCCGUUCAGAUAAUGGAUGGAGGAGGACCUCCUCCCCUCCAGAUGGACGCUUCUUCUCAACUGUAUGUUGGCUGUGAGCAGAAGUUGGCCUCAGUGAGGUCCUCGUGCCCCCAGACAACCUGAAAGCGUUUUCUUUCUUUCUUUCUUUCUUUUUUUAAAGAUUUUAUUUAUUUGACAGAGGAGAUCACAAGUAGGCAGAGAGGCAGGUAGAGAGAGAGGGGCAAGCAGGCUCCCUGCUGAGCAGAGAGCCCGAUGCAGGACUCGAUCCCAGGACCCUGGAACCAUGACCUGANNNNNNNNNNNNNNNNNN
Molecule: long non-coding RNA, 1860 nt
Organism: Mustela putorius furo (domestic ferret)
Lineage: Eukaryota; Metazoa; Chordata; Mammalia; Carnivora; Mustelidae
Source: Ensembl